CCUACGGGUGGCAGCAGUGGGGAAUAUUGCGCAAUGGGCGAAAGCCUGUCGCAGCGACGCCGCGUGAGGGAUGAAGGUCUUCGGAUCGUAAACCUCUGUCAGCAGGGAAGAACGGUCACUGUGCUAAUCAGCACUGAAUUGACGGUACCUGCAAAGGCAGCACAGGCUAACUCAGGGUCAGCAGCCGCGGUAAUACGGCGGGUGCGAGCGUUAAUCGGAAUUACUGGUCGUAAAGCGAUCGUAGGCGGUAUGUCAAGGCAAGGGUGAACUCCCCGCGCUCAACGUGGGAACUGCCUUUGAAACUGGCAAACUGGAGUGUGUGAGAGGAGAGUGGAAUGCCAGGUGUAGGAGUGAAAUCCGUAGAUAUCUGGAGGAACAUCAGUUGCGAAGGCGACUAACUGGCACAUAACUGACGCUGAGGAGCGAAAGCGUGGGUAGCAAACAGGAUUAGAUACCCGGGUAGUC
Molecule: ribosomal RNA, 465 nt
Filed under: uncultured bacterium
Lineage: Bacteria
Description: partial 16S ribosomal RNA
Rfam family: Bacterial small subunit ribosomal RNA
Source: RNAcentral